AGAUGAAUGAUUCGUGUAAAUAUGCUAGUUCUUUCAUGAUUAUGUGAUAGGUGGUGCAUGGCCGUUCUUAGUUCGUGGAGUGAUCUGUCUGCUUAAUUGCGUUUCACUAUGGCCCCAAAGUUAGCAAGUUAUCCAAUCAUGACCUUCGUCGACCCCUCACCUUUGAGUGCGCGUCCUAGCUUAGAGUACAUGGUGUAAAUGGACUUGUUUUGGGUACCCAGAAAGCAACGAACGUGACCGCAACGUCUUGUUGUCUCUCUUUUGACAGUUAUGGGUUAUCCCAGUCAUGUGCUUAUACUUUUAUGUGUAAAUACGUACGACACAGAGACUAGAUACCAAACUAGGCGUACCGCUGUAUCAUUUCUUUAAACCAGAGGAAGGUUGCGGCAAUAACAGGUCUGUGAUGCAC
Molecule: ribosomal RNA, 409 nt
Filed under: Neogloboquadrina incompta
Lineage: Eukaryota; Foraminifera; Rotaliida; Globorotaliidae
Description: bacterial SSU rRNA
Rfam family: Eukaryotic small subunit ribosomal RNA
Source: RNAcentral